Long non-coding RNA from Hordeum vulgare subsp. vulgare (domesticated barley), 937 nucleotides. RefSeq lists it as uncharacterized. NCBI's taxonomy places the organism in Eukaryota, Viridiplantae, Streptophyta, Magnoliopsida, Poales, Poaceae. The record is from RefSeq and is a predicted model, not a curated record. The transcript is spliced from 3 exons.
UGUAAGUGUAUUAGACAACCCCCAACGCCCUAAGCCCCUGCCGACCCCGCCGUUCGCCGUAAUAGGCACCGGAGCUAACUCCGUCAUGGCAACUGGCACGGAGCCCUUAUAAAUAGGAGGCCCACAACAGCCUAGCACCUGAGCACCUCUCCCCCUCCUCUCAGAACCGCGCUCAAGCCAAAAGAAAGCCCCGGGGAGGUCUUCUUCCCGGACUCCGGCUGCCUCGAUCCGCCUCGGUCCCGACAAAAUUCCCUCCGGAGCUCUCUCUGGUGAGAUCGUGUGACGUGCAAGGCUGCCGUCCGCCAGAGAAGAAGACGACGUCGGUGACGACCAGUUCCACCUGCCAUCGAUGCAGAAGGACACAAUGAGUGCACAUGUGCCCUUGGUUGCCCUUGCCAUGCCUUGCAUCAUCGUCUGCGACCACCACAAGCCUCUGUCGCCGGUGGAAAUUCAAAUCUGACGGUUUUCGACGAGGGAAACGCCGCCGUCAACUUCACCGAGCUUGAUCCCGACUAUGUGGAACCAGGCAAGCAUGUUUGAACUUUUGAUGUGAUGUUUGCUAAUAAAAUUUUAUUAAUCACCUGCUACAUUAACUAACAUCUUGCAUAUUACUUAUAUAACUCAAUAUGUGAGUAUGAGGAUUGAUGUGGCUAUGAGAGGCCGUGGAUAGCCUAGUCACGCGGGACGCGAUAGAUUGUGGCCUGGUCAUGCCGGAUGCAUGAUCGUGGUGAGAUAAAAUUGAAUAACUCCAGUAACGACCUAGAUCGAGUCUUGUGAGUGUGUCAACUUUUCUUUCGUGCUGGCAUAGUUUCUUCGGAAAGGGAAUGCGGUGUAGUCGGUCGUGAACCUAUUAUCAGUUACAUGCUGAUAUGUCUCCAACGUAUCUAUAUUUUUGAUGGUUCCAUGCUAUUAUCUUGUCAACUUUGAAUGUUUUGUA